RNAcentral lists this ribosomal RNA (253 nucleotides) under uncultured bacterium. RNAcentral describes it as "partial 16S ribosomal RNA". It matches the Rfam family "Bacterial small subunit ribosomal RNA", at positions 524 to 776 of the family's 1533-position model. The record is from RNAcentral.
UACGUAGGGUGCGAGCGUUGUCCGGAAUUACUGGGCGUAAAGAGCUCGUAGGUGGUUUGUCGCGUUGUUCGUGAAAACUCACAGCUUAACUGUGGGCGUGCGGGCGAUACGGGCAGACUGGAGUACUGCAGAGGAGACUGGAAUUCCCGGUGUAGCGGUGAAAUGUGUAGAGAUCGGGAGGAACACCGGUGGCGAAGGCGGGUCUCUGGGCAAUUCCUGACGCUGAGGCGCGAAAGCGUGGGGAGCAAACGGG